This 368-nucleotide ribosomal RNA is filed under the name uncultured organism. RNAcentral's name for it is "bacterial LSU rRNA". It matches the Rfam family "Bacterial large subunit ribosomal RNA", at positions 2099 to 2465 of the family's 2925-position model. The record is from RNAcentral.
CUUUACUGUAGCUUUGCAUUGGACUUUGAACCGAUCUGUGUAGGAUAGGUGGGAGGCUAUGAAACCGGGACGCUAGUUUCGGUGGAGCCAACCUUGAAAUACCACCCUGGUUUGUUUGAGGUUCUAACCAUGGCCUGUGAAUCCAGGUCUGGGACCGUGCAUGGUAGGCAGUUUGACUGGGGCGGUCUCCUCCCAAAAGGUAACGGAGGAGUACGAAGGUACGCUAGGUACGGUCGGACAUCGUGCUAAUAGUGCAAUGGCAUAAGCGUGCUUGACUGCGAGACCCACAAGUCGAGCAGGUACGAAAGUAGGUCAUAGUGAUCCGGUGGUUCUGUAUGGAAGGGCCAUCGCUCAACGGAUAAAAGGUA